This 182-nucleotide ribosomal RNA is filed under the name uncultured bacterium. RNAcentral's name for it is "partial 16S ribosomal RNA". It matches the Rfam family "Bacterial small subunit ribosomal RNA", at positions 1319 to 1500 of the family's 1533-position model. The record is from RNAcentral.
CAUGAAGUCGGAAUCGCUAGUAAUCGCGAGUCAGCAUAUCGCGGUGAAUACGUUCCCGGGUCUUGUACACACCGCCCGUCACACCAUGGGAGUUGGCAACACCCGAAGUCGAUGAGCUAACCGUAAGGAGGCAGUCGCCUAAGGUGGGGUUGAUAACUGGGGUGAAGUCGUAACAAGGUAAC